CCCUUAGAUGUCCGGGGCUGCACGCGCGCUACACUGAAUGAAUCAGCGUGCUAGAAAACCUUGUUUGACAUGGCUAGGUAACCCAUUGAAAAUCAUUCGUGAUUGGGAUCGGGACUUGCAAAUGUGUCCCUUGAACGAGGAAUUCCCAGUAAGUGCGGGUCAUCAGCUCGCGUUGAUUACGUCCCUGCCCUUUGUACACACCGCCCGUCGCUCCUACCGAUUGAAUGUGUUGGUGAGGAGCUCGGAUUGGCAGCAGUUGGUGGUUCGCCAUCGGCUAUUGCUGAGAAGUCCUCCAAACCGCCCCAUUUAGAGGAAGGAGAAGUCGUAACA
This 330-nucleotide ribosomal RNA is filed under the name uncultured eukaryote. Its description in RNAcentral is "partial 18S ribosomal RNA". It matches the Rfam family "Eukaryotic small subunit ribosomal RNA", at positions 1470 to 1796 of the family's 1831-position model. The record is from RNAcentral.